This is a non-coding RNA of Danio rerio (zebrafish), 1687 nucleotides long. The record is from RefSeq and is a predicted model, not a curated record. Lineage: Eukaryota; Metazoa; Chordata; Actinopteri; Cypriniformes; Danionidae.
UUCAUAAAUAAUUCAUUCACCUCCGCCUAUGACGACGAUGCCAUCUUCCAUCACGAUGUUUCACAUUAGACAUCGUUAGAUGCCAAAUUGGUCGACAUCGACCAACCCUAAUCUCCAGUAAAGCACAAAAAAGUCUCUAGAUUUGUCACUAGUGGCUUUUUUGAAAAUUUGUCGCUAAGGGGGUCUGAAAAGUUGCUAAAUUUAGUGACAAAGUCGCUAAGUUGGCAACAAUGGUUUCUCCGUCUGAUUUUACGGUAGGUUUCUUUUGACCGCCCCUGUUGUUUUAAAAAAAUAUCUCAAUGGAACACAUAUAACACAUAUAAAAGUCAUGUCCGUUUCGCGAGUUGCGAGCGCACUAAGUGGAGGUUCACGACGGGGCGCCAGGCGAAAGUAUAAAUCAGCCAUAGGAAACAUUAAAAAAUGUUUUUUUAGGACACGACUGGCCAUGAGACCUACAAUAGAUCAAGUAAUAAAUUUCAAUUUAUUUUCAUUUAAUUUUAAUCUCCUCACCAAGUAUUACUAUCGAGCAGUAUUUCUCAACCCCAGUCCUCGCAAACCCCUGCCCGCUUGUUGCUAUAAUGGAUACAUCUGCCACAGGAAGUUAACCAGAAUUAUUUAUAGAAAUUAAACAUUCAUUGUAUUGUAUUAACAUCUACCCCCACCCUGAAACUAAACACAAUCCUCCCAGUAAUGUACAAACUGAGUUAUUCAUAUUAUGUAUUAAAUUACACAUUCAAUUGUAUUUUGUUAACACCCUAAACCCAACCCUCACUGUAGUGUAAAAAUAUUCAUUAUUGUUGUGCUGUGUUGCAAAAACGAUGCUAUAUUGAUGUGAGUAUCUACAGCUGUAUCCCUUCUAGCCUCCCUCUCCAUCGUUCUGCACAUUUCGUUCAUUCAAAUGGCAUUUUAGUGUGUGAUAUGUUAAUGUAAACGUUGCAUCACACCACAUCUGUGACAAUAUGACAUUCUGACAUUUCAACUUCGAGAUGGGUAAGUAUAACUUCAUUUACUACAUUUCUUUUUGUUGAUAAUUUUGUAAGUUACUCAAUGAAAAGAAACUUUGCUAUGUCGAAGUAGUUCAUCCAAAAAUGAUUUAAUCUCAAAUGGUUCCAAACCUUUAAGUAUUAGUUUCUUUAACGUGUCGAACGCUGAUGAAGGUAUUCUGAAGACAUCUGAAAACCUGUUGACUUUCAUAGUAGGAGAAAAAAAUACUGUGGAAGUUAAAUGGCUACAGGUUUCCAGCAUUGAUCAAAAAAUGUUUGUGUCUACGGACGAAAAAAAAGGCAAAGAGGUUAAGAACACGUGGAGGUAUCUCAGUGGAGGAACAAUCGCCUUCCACUAUCAUAUGACGUAGAACAGAGUGUCUAAAGCACACAUCUCCUGCAGUCUAGGAGUGUGUCUAGUCCAUAUUGGAGACAGAUGUGAUGGGGUCUUUGCUGGCUCACCCAUAGAACAGGCAUCGGAUGGAAAAAAGUUGAAGGUUCCAGAUGAUCAGCAGAUACAGUUUCAGGAGCAGAGCAUCUUGGGAACGCAGCAGAUGCAGCUUUACCCUGGUCGGGAUCGAGUGAACACAACAAUGCAGCAAGUGUGGUGGAAAAUAGCCUCGGCUGUUUAUCAUCUCACUGGAGGAUCCUGCAGAUUAGGAUCAACAUACAUUGUGACUAAAUAAAGAUUUUUUAUAUGUACA